UGGGGAAUUUUGGACAAUGGGCGAAAGCCUGAUCCAGCAAUGCCGCGUGUGUGAAGAAGGCCUUCGGGUUGUAAAGCACUUUUGUCCGGAAAGAAAUCCUUGGCUCUAAUACAGUCGGGGGAUGACGGUACCGGAAGAAUAAGCACCGGCUAACUACGUGCCAGCAGCCGCGGUAAUACGUAGGGUGCAAGCGUUAAUCGGAAUUACUGGGCGUAAAGCGUGCGCAGGCGGUUUGCUAAGACCGAUGUGAAAUCCCCGGGCUCAACCUGGGAACUGCAUUGGUGACUGGCAGGCUAGAGUAUGGCAGAGGGGGGUAGAAUUCCACGUGUAGCAGUGAAAUGCGUAGAGAUGUGGAGGAAUACCGAUGGCGAAGGCAGCCCCCUGGGCCAAUACUGACGCUCAUGCACGGAAGCGUGGGGAGCAAACAGGAUUAGAUACCCUGGUAGUCCACGCCCUAAACGAUGUCAACUAGUUGUUGGGGAUUCAUUUCCUUAGUAACGUAGCUAACGCGUGAAGUUGACCGCCUGGGGAGUACGGUCGCAAGAUUAAAA
This 551-nucleotide ribosomal RNA is filed under the name uncultured bacterium. RNAcentral describes it as "partial 16S ribosomal RNA". It matches the Rfam family "Bacterial small subunit ribosomal RNA", at positions 355 to 899 of the family's 1533-position model. The record is from RNAcentral.